Molecule: non-coding RNA, 7423 nt
Organism: Microcebus murinus (gray mouse lemur)
Lineage: Eukaryota; Metazoa; Chordata; Mammalia; Primates; Cheirogaleidae
Source: RefSeq, a predicted model, not a curated record
UGCCCUGAGAUCCAGCAGUCAGCAGACCAAGUCCAGUUCCCUUCCCACUCUCAUUUUCACAGCGGUGCCCGGACGCUCACUUUCCCAGCUGCAAGCGUGUGCACAUACGGAGAGUUCUUGCGGUUCUGGAAAAGCUUUGACUUCAGGAUGGAGGGGGCAGAUGUGGCUGGUGCUACCCUGGUUUCUUCUUCCUACCUUGAGAAGCGCUGGACAGCCAUCCUGCAUCCAAGGGACAAGCCAAGAGGACUGCGGGGAUGCCAGCAUGACCCUGGUCUUCUGGAGCCCCUGCAUCAAGACCAACAACUGCCUCCUUCUGAACUUGUAUUGGGUGACAUAAACACUUGCUGGUCUGAGCCACAAUUUCCAGUUACUUGCAGCUAAAUGCAUUUCUUCCCAUCACAGUCACCUCCUCAGGACCACAGGUUGGCCCAGAUUCCCACUAUCCACAUGGAGAUACUGAGGUCUGGGGUGCACAGAAAACUUCCCCAGGGUCACACGGUGGGGUCACAAGUUUAGUGACUCACCAUCCACUGCUCCCUGUAUUCAGGCCACACCUCCUGGUCCAUUUCCUUUCAUUCAAGAUGCUGUAAGCAUGGCCAAACAGCUGCCUUGUAAAUUAAACACUUCUCAUGGAGACAGUGACGUCCUUGCCCCUGAAUCUUCCCGGUCUCUUACGCAAAUAGCCCUGGGCCACCUGCCCCCAUGCCUUUGGACCCAGGACAGGUUCCCCACAUCCUUUAAAAAGAUGAGAUGAUCAAAUGUAGACCCAGUGCUCCUGGAAAGGUGUGAGUCAUGCAUCGUGGAGCAGAAGGUUCACAGCCAGGAGUCUGCCCAUCCAGCACCCCACGCUUGCAUCGAGCUUGUUCUCUGCAGUGCUGACUCAUCUUCAGCUUGCGGUCAGCUCUGACACUCAGAUCAUUUUCUGCUCAUCUUGUGCCUGGCUAGUGGCCUUUAAUUAGGUGCUGUCAACUUCCUGUCUCUGUCCAUGUUGUCUUUUUUAGAAGACUGUAUGAAUACUAAAGACGUGAUGAUGAUGAUGAUAGCAGUUAGCACCGAGUGCUUUAAACGAAUUUAAAAUUUUUUUCUCAAAUAUCACUGUCUGAGAUAACAAGUAUUAUUAUUUCCAUUUCAUGGACAGGAAAACUAGGGCUUAAAAAUUUAAGCCAUUUGCCUGGGGUAACGGAGCCAGGAGUGCUUGAUGGAGCUGGAAUAUGACCCUGUGUUUGACCCUGGAGGCCGUCUCUAAAGCCGGGAGCCAGCUGGGCCUAUUAGGAGAGGUUCGGAGGCUUCCCUGCAGCAGUUCAGAUUAUAACAACAUUUAUUGUUUGUUUAAAAGGUCUCUGGAGACCGGAGGCCUCAUGGCGUAUUUGGCACUUCAAGGUUGUCAUAAGGGCCCUGGGCUCUCUGCCCUGUCCCUCUGUCCCAUCAGUAGCUAGUCAGCAAGUCGUCCCCAGCCUGGUCCUCACGUCCCAGAUGGUUGCCACAGCUCACCCAUCACCUCUUCACAUAACAGUGUCCACAGCAGGCGCAGAAGGAAAGGGGCAAACAUCGCUGUGCUCCUCAGAGAGGAAACUCUUUCCCAGAAGUCCCCAGCAGAGCUUCCCUUCAGCCAAACUGGGUCAUGGGACCACCUCUGGACCAAUCACAGGUCCAGGAAAAUAGCAGUGCUUCCCUUCAGCCAAACUGGGUCAUGUGACCACCUCUGGACCAAUCACAGGUCUCGGAGAAUAAGAUGGCCACGGUUGGCAGAAACCGAAGGUGUUUUUUACCCUCGGGCUAGACACAUGGCUGGCUGAACGUAGCCACGGGUCUGUCAGCAGGAGGGAAGAGGGAAUGGCAGUUGGCAAGAUUUUUGCUCCAGAGUGAAGGAAAGAUGCCCAGGCCCAGCAGGAAUCCGAGGGUGGAAUUUCAAGUUAGGAGAAGAGAAAACAGCUCAUCCUGAAAUCAAAUUGUCUCAAGAAUCUCAAUACGAAGACACCAUUCAUUUCACAGAAACACCUCAAGGCUGAGUCCACUUGUGAAACGCCUUCUCUUGGAACUCCAGUCGGAUUUCCCAGAAAUUUGGGAUUCUGUGAAACCCAUCUGGAAGCAUUUUGACUCAGGUUAGAGGUCGCAAACAGCAGUCUCCCACCUAAGGUGGGUCUAGCCAGCGGCCACGUAUACAGUAGACAUCGCCUGUUGUUUACCUGUCCGUCUCCUCUCUCAGAGCACCGGCUUCCGGGGGGACGCAGUGACGUCUCUCCACUCACUGCUAUCUCCCCAGAGUCCAGACUGUGCUGGGAGCAGAGCUGGUCCUCGGCAAGCUUUAAGGAAGAAUGAAAGACAGAGACCCACCUGGGUCCUGCUGCUCAUUACUGCAUGACCUUGUGCAAAUGGCUUCUGCCCCCAACAAUGUCCUCUUCCGUAAAGUGGAUCUAACGACAUAACCCUUACAGGGAAGCCACAGAAGAGCUGUCCCAAGUGUCAGGUGUCUGCUGCUGCUGUGAACCUUGGGAGGGAACAAGAGCAGAGCUGGAAGAAAGUCACCCCCACAGAGCCAAGAAGGAGGAGAGAAGCACAUUUGCCCUCCAGUGGGACAAGCCUGUUUUUCCAGGAUUCUCGGUAAGAAAGCAGAAGGGAAUCCAAGAAUCCCAGGGCGCAGCCUGGGCUGUCAGUUCCUUGGACGUCCGGCCUGGUUCCGUUCACCGCCUCCCUGUGCCUUCCCUGCAGCCCUGGCCCUCUGCUCCCUUGGGAGCGCCGGCCCCUCGGCUGGAUGCCCGCCCUUCCUCCAAAACAGCGGAUAAGGAGAGCUGCUCGAGAUGUUGUUUUCAUUACUAUUAUUAAUAUGUGAGGGCUCCAGCCCUCCUAACCCGCACUAGGAGGCCAGAGAAAAUGCCAGAAGAACAGCCAGCAACUACCUAGUACCUGCUGUGUGCCGUACUAUAUCGUGUUAAUAUACAGGCACCGCCGCCAGGCCUUUCUCGCUAUUAACUCAUUUGAUUGUCACAGCAACUUAUGAGGUGUUCACUGCCGUUAACUCCAUUUUGCAGAUAAUGAAACUGAGAUCUAGAGCAGUUAUGGAAUUGACCGCCAGGAGGCCAGGAUUCAAAUCUGUCGUUUGGCUCCAGAACCCACUCUUUUAACAAUACAUACAUUCUACUGCCUCGUGACACUUUAUUAUUUGAAAUGGUAACAUUUCCUGAGCACUCACUGUGUGCCAGCUACUAGGCUCAGCUUUCAUGGACAUCACCACUGUCAACCCUCUAAAGACCCUAUGAGUUUGUUUGAUUAUUAAACAGCCCCAUUUGACAGAAGGGGAAACUGAGGCCUCAGAGGUUGACGUGCUCCUGCCGACACAGCAUGGCAGGCUGUGUUUUCUCAGGCUGCUCACGGCAGUGUCUCCCAUCCUCAUCGUCUUUUCUUCUCUUAUAAAAUUAACAGGUUUCUCAAGAUAUAAUUUACAUGCCAUACGAUUCACCCUUUUAGAGCGCACAAUCCAGUGGGUUUUGGUACAUUCACACGGUGCAACCGUCACCACUGUCUAAAUUUAGAACACUGUCACAGCCCUCAAAACAAACCUCACACCCAUUAGCAGUCACUCCCUGUCCCCACCAUGUUGUGAGGAAACCCGCACUAGCCCACGUGAACCGGCCACACGGAGAAGUCACACGCAGGGUGCCCUCCUGACAGCCCAGCUGAGGAGCCAGCUGCCAGACAGACAAGAGAAGACCCACUAACAAAUGCCAGCCCCCCGAGCCAUCGAGUCACCCAGCCUUCAUGCUGUCCCAGCAGAGACCCCAGACAUCGUGGAGCAGACACAAGCCCUCUCACUGUGCCCCAUGUGUAUCCCCGACCCUCAGGACGCGUGCACGACAGAUCCAAGGGAACAGAAUGGCUGUUGCAUGCUGCUGUGUUUGGGUGGUGUUUGUUAUGCAGCAAAAGUAACCAAAGCACACAGCUGGCAAGGAGCAAAGCCAGGAUUCGAACCCCAGUCUGGCCUCGGGGCUACCCCUUUAAUCACCAAAAAGGCUGGAUGACCCCUUGGGUACUGCAGGAAGCCAGUGCCCCUUUGGCUGCUCACUUUGUUGCUGCUGCUGUGGUUGUUUAAUACACAAGAAGUCAUGUUCUUAUUCUUUGCAGAAAAGGUAGCAUGAAUAGGGAAACACAAAAUCCACCUGCAGGGAGAACCUCCAGGAAACACUAACUCACAGGCUCUCGCCAAUGCACUGUGGGCCAGACAGGGCGAGGGGAGAAAGACGGCCUGAACGGCGCGGGCGAGUGCGGCCGGCAGAUCCUGUAUUUUUGUUCAGCGUGUCUCCAAGCACAAGAUAACCCCCGUCCAGUGGCUGCUUCAAUUUCCUGAGAGUUUGUAACGCACCACGGUUGAGAGAAAAUCGAACGCACGUUUCAAGAUCAUUUUUGACUCUACAUAAAAAGAAACCUUUUUCCCCCAACAAAGAUUGUUUUACAUGCGUUGUUUUGUACCCGACUUUUCCACGUAACAACGUACUUUGAACUGCUUCUGCCUGAGCUGCUUUCUCCUGCCUCCUGUGCGGGGAGGAAGCGCUGGGAGGCCACGUGCUCCCUCGGUGUCAGUGAAGUCCCCUGGAGCACCGGGAGCUCCGGCCGCGACGCUGAGGGAGAGAAGCCAGCCAGGGAGGAGCCACACUGUGUGACUCCAUCCCCGAGGUUCAACGAGAUGAUGUUUUUGAAAGAGCGUUUUUAAGCAGCCAGAUUUAUAAAACACGCGAGAACUUUGAAGGCUCUGUUUGAAUGUGGUCAGCUCCACUGCGUAGACUCCAGGUAGGCCCAUGAUUCCCCCUCGGCUACAUCUGUGAUAAUCUGAUCUGCACUGAAAGUCACCGCACCUUUCGCAACACUCUCAGCCCCUUUUGUGUUAUUGGCCAUUUGCCUGGAACAGAAUCACUAGUAUUCUGGUUAGUUUAUUUAUUUCUAUACUAUUUCAUUGAUGGUGGGGAUAUAUAUCUUCCUGGUUCCUGUUUACACAAAAAGGAUCUGAUUACACACACUGCUUCAUAUCUCUGCUUUUUCUUUUUUCUACUUUAUAAUCUAUCUUGGAGAUUUUUCCAUAUCACACAUUGUGUGUGUGUGUGUGUGCUUGUGCGCUUUAACUACACAGAAAACUGCACACGUCAUACAUAAAAAACACAGGAAUAAGUGUCCCCGUUCUUUUAAAGACUGUGGGACAGUUGUUGGUGUGUCCACUCCCCUAGCGAUGGACACUUAGGGUGACUCUGGUCUUCUGCUGUUGCAGACGGUGCUGCAGUGACAGUCCUUGUGUGCACCUUAGAGCCCAGGAAAAUCACGGAGUCCUUUUGAGUCUGUUAAGGGAACCCCGGAGCUUACUUGUCCCCAACCUCAUCUUCACCCCCCUCAUCCCACCCCACCCUUGCUGGUGUUUGUGUUUUGGCCUUUUAAAGACUUUUUCAAAAUUGACUUUGGCUUCUUGGCCUGAACUCUGAGUGUUUGAGCUGAUAAGAUAGCAGGCUUGGCUGAGGGGUGCAGGGUAAACAGUGACCCUGGAGGCCCUCAGCCAAGCAGAGGAGGGGCCACACUCCCCAAGUCUCUCCCUGCCUCCAGAGCCAGCAGGGGGCCGGAGGAGGCUGGACUCAGCUUGGGCCCCAGACCGGUUAGGGGAGGGGGAGGAGGCAGGAAGGUGGCCCCGCACAGACCUGCUCCUUGCCUGCUGCUCUGACUGCCAGGACAGCACCGGAGCGCUGAGCAUGGCGCCUAUUUACUGGGCCUCUCCUAAACCAAACAAGACGCCAGGGGCAAGUCAGAGCAAAGUCCCGGCAAACCUAGAGACACGGGCACUUCCCAAAGAGGCCUCGCACCCCAAGGAGCUGAGUGGCCCCAGGAGGGGCCCUGUCUCCAUGGCUGUGCAGACAACAUUGGCACAAUCUCGGCACAGGAUCACCGCGUGGUGUCUGUAGCUAUCACAUUCCUGGGACCUCACCUGCCUGGUGCCGGUCUAGGCCACAGAGGUGAACAGAUCAGUCCGGAUUCCACCCUCUACAACUUUCUUCAGCCUAGGAGGGCAGAGAGGAAACGGGCGGGCAGAACUCUGGGGCCAGAGCAGGGGCACUGUCUGGCGGCCUAGGGUGGUCCACAGCCCAGCUGAAAACCCCUCCGGGCUGCCUAACCCAGCCACUCAGGAGGCUGAGGCAGGAGGAUCGUUGAGCCCAGGAGUUCACGGCCAGCCUGGGCAACACAGCAAGACUGUUUUUCAAAACAAAAACAAAAACUCUGGGGCUUCUCAGGGCUUCUCAAGGCUCCCAGGCCUCACGGCCCUUGCACACUUCCUCCCUGCUCAGCUCCUCCAGCGGGGUCCACGGUGCCAGCCUGGCAACACUCCUGGCCCGCUCCGUCCUCGGGGCCUCCUACUGCUGCUCCCUCUGCCAGCAGCGCCUCACUUCCCACCACCCACUAGUCCUGUAACUCUAAGCUGGGACGUCACCUCCUCCUCCAGGAAGCCUUCCCUGAUACCCCUAGAUGGGCCCAGUGCUUCUUUGGAAAUGUCACAUGCUCUUGUACAUUCCCUGGGCCAGUUUCAAUACUCUGAAUUGGGGUCACUUGUUUUUUGGUGACCCAAAGUAGCCCAUCAUGGCCAGAGCCCAGGCUCUAUGGCUGACCCAGCUGCAUUCAAAUGCUGGCUCUGUCUCAGCUGUGCAACCUGGGGCCUCAGUUUUCUUCUCUGGAAAAUGGGCACAGUGAUGGCGUCUGCCUCGUAGGGUGGCUGUGAGGAAGAAGCAAUUUAAUACAAGUGCUUAGAAUGGCAUCUGGCACUGAGUUUGCACUCAGUAAAUGUUGGCAGUAUCAUUUCAACCUCUCUUUCCACAGACCAUAGUAGGAUGAACAAAUGCAGCCCUUCAAACAUGUUCAUGAAAACGAGCAGUUGUGGGAUAUGCUUACGAUAUACAGAUGCCCCCCGACCUGCAAUGGGGCUACGUCCUGAUAAACCCACCGCAAGUUGAAAUUAUCAUAAGUCAAAAGAGCAGUGAAUACACCUGACCUACUGAACAUCCUUAAACAUGCUCAGAACGCCUACAGGAGCCCUCAGUUGGGCAAAAUCAUCUAACACAAGGCCUAUUUUAUAAUCAAGUGUUGAAUACCUCAUGUAAAGUAUAGUGCCACAUACCACACCACGAAUAAAAGAUCCAAAUCCAAAAUUUGAAGUACAGUUUCUACCAAAUACCUAUCGCUUUCAGACCAUCGUAAAGUGGAAAAUCCAAGAUGAGCCGUCGUAAGUCAGGAACUGUCUGCAGUGGAAAAGUUUUUGAAAACACUAAGUGGUUGAGCAGCAUGAUUUACAACUAUGUAAACACACACACAGCCCAGUACCCUGGCUUAAGGAAAAGGAAAAAACAAAACAACAGAUUGUUUAGUGUGGUUGCAUUAGAGGGAUGGGACAGAAAAUAAUUUU